This 336-nucleotide unclassified non-coding RNA is filed under the name soil metagenome. Its description in RNAcentral is "partial contains 5.8S ribosomal RNA, internal transcribed spacer 2, and large subunit ribosomal RNA". The stretch from base 1 to 120 matches the Rfam family "5.8S ribosomal RNA", at positions 35 to 154 of the family's 154-position model. The record is from RNAcentral.
GAUGAAGAACUCAGCGAAAUGCGAUAAGUAAUGUGAAUUGCAGAAUUCAGUGAAUCAUCGAAUCUUUGAACGCACAUUGCGCCCGCCAGUAUUCUGGCGGGCAUGCCUGUUCGAGCGUCAUUUCAACCAUCAAGCCCCCGGCUUGUGUUGGGGACCUGCGGCUGCCGCAGGCCCUGAAAAGCAGUGGCGGGCUCGCUGUCACACCGAGCGUAGUAGCAUACAUCUCGCUCUGGGCGUGCUGCGGGUUCCGGCCGUUAAACCACCUUCAUAACCCAAGGUUGACCUCGGAUCAGGUAGGAAGACCCGCUGAACUUAAGCAUAUCAAUAAGCGGAGGA